RNAcentral lists this long non-coding RNA (293 nucleotides) under Prunus persica (peach). RNAcentral's name for it is "long non-coding RNA (PPER_LNC000594)". The record is from RNAcentral. Lineage: Eukaryota; Viridiplantae; Streptophyta; Magnoliopsida; Rosales; Rosaceae.
UAAAAAAAUUAUAUUAAUAAGAUGACGGUUUAUAUAUAAGGGUUGACGUAUAAAGUUCAUAAAUACGACGGUAAUUUUAACUUUACGACGUGGUAAAUUUUAUUAUACAAAGUUAAUUGAACAAACCAACGUGGUUAGUGUUAGAGAUACCGUCGUAGUACGCUUCAAGAAAUAAGUCGAUAAAUUUAUCUUUACCGUCAUUGUACAUGCAUUUAAUAUGGCGGUAGUUUGUAAUUUACUAUCGUGGAUUGUUUUGAAAUUAUACGGCGCCGGAUACGAAAACUUGGUCGUGU